UCUACGGAGAGUUUGAUCCUGGCUCAGGACGAACGCUGGCGGCGUGCUUAAUACAUGCAAGUCGAGCGACGAAACCUCGGUGGGUAACCACUGAGGCUGAAAGCGGCGAACGGGUGAGUAACACGUG
RNAcentral lists this ribosomal RNA (127 nucleotides) under Actinomycetota bacterium. RNAcentral describes it as "partial 16S ribosomal RNA". It matches the Rfam family "Bacterial small subunit ribosomal RNA", at positions 1 to 119 of the family's 1533-position model. Lineage: Bacteria; Bacillati; Actinomycetota. The record is from RNAcentral.